GCCAUAUCAUGUUGAAACACCGUUUCUCAUACAAUCACUAAAGUUAAGCAAUAUUGAAACUGGUCAGUACCUAGAUGGGUGACCGCUUGGGAAUACUAGGUGCUGUAA
Molecule: ribosomal RNA, 108 nt
Filed under: Acanthosepion pharaonis
Lineage: Eukaryota; Metazoa; Mollusca; Cephalopoda; Sepiida; Sepiidae
Source: RNAcentral